UAGGGAAUAUUAGUAAUGGGCGAAAGCCUGAACUAGCAACGCCGCGUGUGCGAAGAAGGCCUUCGGGUUGUAAAGCAUUUUUUGAGAGGAUGAGGAAGGACGGUACUCUCAGAAUAAGUCUCGGCUAACUACGUGCCAGCAGCCGCGGUAACACGUAGGAGGCGAACGUUAUCCGGAUUUACUGGGCGUAAAGCGCGUGUAGGUGGUUUGGUAAGUAGGGCGUGAAAGCUCCUGGCUCAACUGGGAGAGGCCGUUCUAAACUGCCGAACUAGAGGAUGGUAGAGGGAGGUGGAAUUCCGGGUGUAGCGGUGGAAUGCGCAGAUAUGCGGAGGAACACCAGUGGCGAAAGCGGCCUCCUGGACCACUCCUGACACUCAGACGCGAAAGCUAGGGUAGCAAACGG
RNAcentral lists this ribosomal RNA (403 nucleotides) under uncultured bacterium. Its description in RNAcentral is "bacterial SSU rRNA". It matches the Rfam family "Bacterial small subunit ribosomal RNA", at positions 355 to 775 of the family's 1533-position model. The record is from RNAcentral.